Molecule: non-coding RNA, 46 nt
Organism: Acyrthosiphon pisum (pea aphid)
Lineage: Eukaryota; Metazoa; Arthropoda; Insecta; Hemiptera; Aphididae
Source: Rfam
AAAACGGUCCUUUUCAGGACCACCAAUUUUAUUUAACAUAUCAUAU